UUAGUCGAAACCAAAAUAGAGGUAUAUCACUGUUAAUGAUAUUAAUGAACAAAAGUUCCGUCUAAG
RNAcentral lists this transfer RNA (66 nucleotides) under Neotermes castaneus (southern dampwood termite). RNAcentral describes it as "tRNA-Asn". Lineage: Eukaryota; Metazoa; Arthropoda; Insecta; Blattodea; Kalotermitidae. The record is from RNAcentral.